Molecule: long non-coding RNA, 282 nt
Filed under: Mytilus galloprovincialis (Mediterranean mussel)
Lineage: Eukaryota; Metazoa; Mollusca; Bivalvia; Mytilida; Mytilidae
Source: RNAcentral
GGGGGGGGGGGGGCUAAGAUGAAAAAUUUGUCCUGCAUUUUUUUUUAGCUGUAAUCUCUGUCCUGCCUUUUUAUUUUUCACUCUGUUCGGUCCUGCCUUUUUUUUUUUUUUUUUAGUUUAUCCUGACUUUUUUUUACCUAAAUUGUCGUCCUGACUUUUUUUUUUUUUGCAAGUGUCUCAUCCUGCCUUUUUUUUUUACUCAAAACUCCUGUCCUGCCUAUUUUUUUUCAAAUUUCAUCCUAGCCCCCCCCCAUAAAAAUCAAAUGGUAGCUCCCUUACAAC